UACGUAGGGUGCGAGCGUUGUCCGGAAUUAUUGGGCGUAAAGGGUGCGUAGGCGGCGCGGUAAGUCGGGUGUGAAAUCUCGGGGCUUAACUCCGAAACUGCAUUCGAUACUGCCGUGCUUGAGGACUGGAGAGGAGACUGGAAUUUACGGUGUAGCGGUGAAAUGCGUAGAUAUCGUAAGGAACACCAGUGGCGAAAGCGGCUUCCUGGUCCAGCACCGACGUUCAGGCACGAAAGCGUGGGGAGCAAACAGG
This 253-nucleotide ribosomal RNA is filed under the name uncultured bacterium. Its description in RNAcentral is "partial 16S ribosomal RNA". It matches the Rfam family "Bacterial small subunit ribosomal RNA", at positions 524 to 776 of the family's 1533-position model. The record is from RNAcentral.